Phoenix dactylifera (date palm) is the source of this 1193-nucleotide non-coding RNA. The record is from RefSeq and is a predicted model, not a curated record. NCBI's taxonomy places the organism in Eukaryota, Viridiplantae, Streptophyta, Magnoliopsida, Arecales, Arecaceae.
AUUUAAAUGUUCUCAUAAUUUCGCUACUGCCCCAAUUUUUUAUUUUCCUUUUCUUUUGUUUUUGGUUUCAAUCGAUCUAGGUUAAGCAAGUUUUGCAAGGAUUUCUCACUUGAUUUAGAUUUUUAUUCACAAGGUUCUGAAGAUUUUCUUUUGGAUCAGCAGUUCUUCCGAUGAAGUGAGAGCUUCGUUACUUUUUUUCCUUCUUUGUGAAGUUGUUGCUCUUCUGGUCCUCGGUGUUCUCCGAUUUCGGCUUCUUUCUUUGGUGGAGUGAGAGCUUGGAACCCUAGGAUCGUUAGAUCGGACGGCGGAUCGGCCCAGAAAAUAGAGUUGAGAACCGUUUCUUGGAUAGGAGAGGUGGAAGCUCCUGGAAUUAGCUGGAUCUCUCUCAUUGCCGAAAGCAAUUCCAUUUACUUGGAUCUUAAAUAAGAUUAUCAUCUACCUCAUGUUUGUGAAUCUGCACUGUAAUACUAAUUUGGUAAAAGGUGUGCUUUUUGCCUGGCGCUGUUUGGAAUUUUCUGAGAUUUGGUAGCAUGAGCACAAGACGGGGUUUUAAUUUCCAUUUGAUAUUAUUUAAGUGUCAUACGGUAUUUUCUUGAGCAUACUGCUACCCCAAGGAUAGCACUAAAUCCUUUAGCUGACCUAUCAACUAUGUGAGAACAUUAUCUGUUGUUUGAUUUGAAGUACUGCUUUGUUUAUUCCUUGAGAGCAGAGAUCAAUGAAAUUCCAUACCGCCUUGUGGUUGCUGGUCGAUUUUUCUUCAACAUGCGUGGUCUUUGAAACUUGUAUUUGUGGAGGUUGGUUUUGUUGGUUGUUGUUAAAUUUGGCUUCCCCUGAGAAAGUUCUUAAGUUUGGCCUCUGGUUUAUUCUUUGUGUCUUGCAGAUAAUAUUAUAGUAGUAAUUCCCUCUGUGAAAUCUUUCCUUUUUCUCUGUCUUUUGGACCUCUUCCAUGCAUAGAUGUUGUUGAAGGAUUGCUCCUUAUUGCAUUAACAGAGACCAUCUCAAUUUUAUGGAUAAGUGUCGCCUUAGUUAUUGUUGUGUCUUGUUGUUUUUAUUUUUAUCUUUGUUGUUUUCUUGAUUCAUUGUGGUUAUACUGUUGUAAUUUAGGCUUGUUAUGCUGUUUGUUUGUUAUGCCAUUUGUGUCCCUCGGUCAAAUCAGUUUAACUUGUUAUGUUUGGUCACUUUGUUUCUAAGAU